GUGAAUCAUCGAAUCUUUGAACGCAAAUUGCACUCUCUUCGGAGAGUAUGCCUGUUUGAGGGUCAGUAUUAAUAAAAAUCGGCGUGUUGCUCUUUUGUGACGUUCCGGAGUUUGGGUCAUCUUAUAACAACACCCUUUCAGGGAUUUUUUAAGAGACCUAAAAUUGAUACUUUGUGCAUCUCAGACGUACAUAAAGAAUAUUUUUUUUUUUUAUCCGUCCGGAGUUGCCAAAUUUUUAUUAGGUAUGAACAUGUUAUUUUGUGGUAUCGUACCUAUAAUAUACUCAUUUUUUGACCUCAAA
RNAcentral lists this unclassified non-coding RNA (301 nucleotides) under Glomeraceae sp. RNAcentral describes it as "partial contains 5.8S ribosomal RNA and internal transcribed spacer 2". The stretch from base 1 to 65 matches the Rfam family "5.8S ribosomal RNA", at positions 84 to 154 of the family's 154-position model. The record is from RNAcentral. Lineage: Eukaryota; Fungi; Glomeromycota; Glomeromycetes; Glomerales; Glomeraceae.